GACGAACGCUGGCGGCGUGCUUAACACAUGCAAGUCGAGCGGUAAGGCCCUUUCGGGGGUACGACGAGCGGCGAACGGGUGAGUAACACGUGGGUGACCUGCCCUCAGCUCUGGGAUAAGCCUGGGAAACCGGGUCUAAUACCGGAUAUGACUCCAUGACGCAUGUUGUGGGGUGGAAAGCCUUGUGCGGCUGAGGAUGGGCCCGUGGCCUAUCAGCUUGUU
Molecule: ribosomal RNA, 222 nt
Filed under: uncultured bacterium
Lineage: Bacteria
Description: partial 16S ribosomal RNA
Rfam family: Bacterial small subunit ribosomal RNA
Source: RNAcentral